GUUUUAGUAGUUUAAAUAAAACUUUGGUCUUGUAAACCAAGAAUGAUUUAAUAAUCCUAAACCA
This 64-nucleotide transfer RNA is filed under the name Allopsontus sp. 1 JZ-2014. Its description in RNAcentral is "tRNA-Thr". It matches the Rfam family "tRNA". From Rfam's summary of the family: Transfer RNA (tRNA) molecules are approximately 80 nucleotides in length. Their secondary structure includes four short double-helical elements and three loops (D, anti-codon, and T loops). Further hydrogen bonds mediate the characteristic L-shaped molecular structure. tRNAs have two regions of fundamental functional importance: the anti-codon, which is responsible for specific mRNA codon recognition, and the 3' end, to which the tRNAs corresponding amino acid is attached (by aminoacyl-tRNA synthetases). tRNAs cope with the degeneracy of the genetic code in two manners: having more than one tRNA (with a specific anti-codon) for a particular amino acid; and 'wobble' base-pairing, i.e. permitting non-standard base-pairing at the 3rd anti-codon position. Lineage: Eukaryota; Metazoa; Arthropoda; Insecta; Archaeognatha; Machilidae. The record is from RNAcentral.